UACGAAGGGGGCUAGCGUUGCUCGGAAUCACUGGGCGUAAAGCGCACGUAGGCGGCUCUUUAAGUCAGGGGUGAAAUCCUGGAGCUCAACUCCAGAGCUGCCUUUGAUACUGGGGAUCUCGAGUCCGGAAGAGGUGAGUGGAACUCCGAGUGUAGAGGUGAAAUUCGUAGAUAUUCGGAAGAACACCAGUGGCGAAGGCGGCUCACUGGUCCGGUACUGACGCUGAGGUGCGAAAGCGUGGGGAGCAAACAGG
This 253-nucleotide ribosomal RNA is filed under the name uncultured bacterium. Its description in RNAcentral is "partial 16S ribosomal RNA". It matches the Rfam family "Bacterial small subunit ribosomal RNA", at positions 524 to 776 of the family's 1533-position model. The record is from RNAcentral.